AGUUAUUUUCAUUCGGGAGUUCACAUCUCUACUGCGUCGGCGUGAAGCAUCGCUAUCAUUUUCUCUACUUGUCGUCCUUCACUAUCUCGUAAUUUUAAAUAUUCACAAUUUGAUUACUGCAAGUCUCAGGGCAAUGUUUAUCGUUAAAUCAAGGGCAACACUUCCGGAUUUGAAUAAAAAAUGUUGAAUAACCAAGAAAAAACCCUAAGCUUGUCACAAUUGACAUCGAUCGGUUGUGCAGUCGUUCCAUUUACAACGCCUCUUAUUGAACCAACAGAUUGCCACUUACAGUAAAAAUCAGUCGAGAAUAGGAGAUGGAAAUUCCCGCAAUAAAGUAUCAGAGUUGCGUCAGACCCUGUUUUCCGAGCUAUUUUCUAUAAGACAUAACGGGAGUGCAAAACUGUAGAGCAGAAAGCAGUUCUACUUACGAGAGAUUAUUUACAGUGCAGUGGAGCAGUCGUCUCAGGUGGCACGAGUGUCCCGGAGGCUGUCGCGAGGUAGAAUGUCCGUAUUCCUAGCGAAACUCGGUCACUACAUUGGACGAUUGGCGCAUAUCCAAUGGCUUCUGUGGGUUUCCAUCACUUACAACUCCGCCGUUAGAUGUCACGUUGUGUUUAAUUUGCAUUGGUUUUGAUCAAAUUUAAAAUUUUACACAUUUGAUUAACAUAUAUCUGAAUUUUUGCAGUGUCGCAGUGCACAUUAUUUAUCUGUCUAUUUAUUCAGUUCGAAAGUAAAAACAGAAGAAGUUUAAUCGCAGUUAAUUGCUCGGGUUUUCAACAACAUGUACGUAAGUUAUACGUAAAUGUUUGAAAAGGUAAGAAGAUAAUUUUUCUUUUAACCCAAGUUAAAUUUCCCCUUAUCGAAAUCCUCAUCUCAAACUGUGCCCAGGGAAAAGAGGUCAAUAACUAAAGGUUGGCGUCCCCCCCUCUCUCCAUGUGUCAUCGACUCUUUUAAAAAAGAAUAGCACACACCUCCAGGAAGGCUAUGUUUUUAUGGCCGUCAAGAUCUAAUCGACAUUUAAAAGAAUAGAAGAGAUGCGUGUUUUCAUUGAAAAACAACUUAAAGCGACCUUGGCAACAAAGAAAGUUUAUUUCGUCUAUAUUCAGCUUUGGAAAUCUCAAAGUCAACAAGUUGUGUCCAUUCAAAUCACAAAGAUAUUUAAACUUGGGCGAUAUUUUGGUUCUUAAUAAUAAUCUGCCGCUCCUCUUCGAUAGAUCGGGCCAGUGCCGUUACGUUACCGGCACCAAAACCUCUCGCUCCUUUUCUCUGCAC
Molecule: long non-coding RNA, 1272 nt
Organism: Daphnia pulicaria
Lineage: Eukaryota; Metazoa; Arthropoda; Branchiopoda; Diplostraca; Daphniidae
Exons: 2
Source: RefSeq, a predicted model, not a curated record